Molecule: long non-coding RNA, 713 nt
Organism: Spodoptera litura
Lineage: Eukaryota; Metazoa; Arthropoda; Insecta; Lepidoptera; Noctuidae
Source: RefSeq, a predicted model, not a curated record
AAUACCGCCCCUUUUAGGAUAUCAAGCUUCAUUCUGAUUGCAACCGUACGAAGAUAAAGAUAGAAAUUAAAACGUAUCUAAUAACCGUGUCUUCAUUACUGCCGAUCAACCUUCUACACAAUAUUCUGCCAGAGAAUUUAGAAGAGGAGGUUCUCAAUUCAGUAUUCAUUCCGGUUCUAUCAGAUAAACGUGCCAACAAGUCGCAAGAUAUCGCACAUGAGGGUGAACGCAACAGUAAUAUUACUAAACAGGAUACCACUUACCAGUGGUUCCUCCCUUGACUUGAUUGACUAGUUGCCACCAGAACAUUUUAUUCGCACUGAAUUUGAAGCAUUUUUGGCGUGCAUAGGCAACGAUGGUAUUAUCUACUUAUACGACCUUGCUCAUAUCAACAAUACAUAAGAGACCUUAUGAUGAAUGUGAAUAUGUAUAAUGAAGCUGAAUAUGUCACCGCUGAAUGGAAUAUUUGAGAAUAAACCAUGUAUUGCAUUAUAUCUAUAGAUAGGUGGUUGAUGGAACCGAGCAGCGAUUUUAUAAUUAUGUACGUUCAUAGUGACACUAACCGUCCCGUUAUCCCGUUAGCUACAAGGGAGAUUAUUACAAGAUUGCCAAAGCUUUCCCGCUAAUUUUAAUGUCAAAUUAUUCGGCUUGAGCUUAAACCGCGACACAGACAUAUUUGUGGGAAAAGGAUCUUUUUUAUCUGGGAUUACGAA